RNAcentral lists this small RNA (158 nucleotides) under Psychrobacillus sp. RNAcentral describes it as "Manganese sequence". It matches the Rfam family "Manganese Mn2+ riboswitch aptamer (yybP-ykoY)". From Rfam's summary of the family: This RNA was originally discovered in E. coli during a large scale screen and was named SraF. The family was later found to exist upstream of related families of protein genes in many bacteria, including the the yybP and ykoK genes in B. subtilis. The specific functions of these proteins are unknown, but this structured RNA element may be involved in their genetic regulation as a riboswitch. Lineage: Bacteria; Bacillati; Bacillota; Bacilli; Caryophanales; Bacillaceae. The record is from RNAcentral.
ACAUAUGUCAAAGGGGAGUAGCUAUAGGGAAACCUAUUUCAUAAUCGUCAUUACAUGGCGUAAGCCAUCGGUUAUGAUAGUAAUUUUUAAAAUUGCUUAGCAAGACCUUUGCCUUUUAAUAGGCAUGGGUCUUUUUAUUUGCAAAAAAGGAGGAUAUU